Molecule: ribosomal RNA, 471 nt
Filed under: uncultured bacterium
Lineage: Bacteria
Description: bacterial SSU rRNA
Rfam family: Bacterial small subunit ribosomal RNA
Source: RNAcentral
CCAGCCAUGCCGCGUGCAGGAUGACGGCCCUAUGGGUUGUAAACUGCUUUUAUAGAGGAAGAAACUUGUGUACGUGUACCAAGCUGACGGUACUAUACGAAUAAGGAUCGGCUAACUCCGUGCCAGCAGCCGCGGUAAUACGGAGGAUCCAAGCGUUAUCCGGAUUCAUUGGGUUUAAAGGGUCCGUAGGCGGAUCUUUAAGUCAGUGGUGAAAGCCGACAGCUCAACUGUCGAACUGCCAUUGAUACUGGAGACCUUGAGUACAAAUGAAGUAGGCGGAAUGAGUCAUGUAGCGGUGAAAUGCAUAGAUAUGACUCAGAACACCGAUUGCGAAGGCAGCUUACUAACAUGUAACUGACGCUGAGGGACGAAAGCGUGGGGAGCGAACAGGAUUAGAUACCCUGGUAGUCCACGCCGUAAACGAUCAUCACUCGCUGUUGGCGAUAUACUGUCAGCGGCCAAGCGAAAGUA